GAUGAACGCUGGCGGCGUGCUUAACACAUGCAAGUCGAACGGAAAGGCCCAAGCUUGCUUGGGUACUCGAGUGGCGAACGGGUGAGUAACACGUGGGUGAUCUGCCCUGCACUUCGGGAUAAGCCUGGGAAACUGGGUCUAAUACCGGAUAGGACCACUUCUUGGAUGUUGUGGUGGAAAGUUUUUUCGGUGUGGGAUGAGCUCGCGGCCUAUCAGCUUGUUGGUGGGGUAAUGGCCUACCAAGGCGUCGGCGGGUAGCCGGCCUGAGAGGGUGUACGGCCGCAUUGGGACUGAGAGACGGCCCAGGCUCCGACGGGAGGGAACUGUGGGGAAUAUUGCACAAUGAGCGCCAGCCGGAUGCAGAGAGGCCGCGGGGGGGAUAACGGCCUUCGGGUUGUAAACUCCUUUCGCUAGGGACGAAGCGUUUUGUGACGGUACCUGGAGAAGAAGCACCGGCUAACUACGUG
This 467-nucleotide ribosomal RNA is filed under the name uncultured bacterium. RNAcentral describes it as "partial 16S ribosomal RNA". It matches the Rfam family "Bacterial small subunit ribosomal RNA", at positions 28 to 507 of the family's 1533-position model. The record is from RNAcentral.